AACGAACGCUGGCGGCAUGCCUAACACAUGCAAGUCGAACGAAGGCUUCGGCCUUAGUGGCGCACGGGUGCGUAACGCGUGGGAAUCUGCCCUUGGGUUCGGAAUAACUCAGAGAAAUUUGAGCUAAUACCGGAUGAUGACGUAAGUCCAAAGAUUUAUCGCCCAAGGAUGAGCCCGCGUAAGAUUAGCUAGUUGGUGGGGUAAAGGCCUACCAAGGCGACGAUCUUUAGCUGGUCUGAGAGGAUGAUCAGCCACACUGGGACUGAGACACGGCCCAGACUCCUACGGGAGGCAGCAGUGGGGAAUAUUGGACAAUGGGCGAAAGCCUGAUCCAGCAAUGCCGCGUGAGUGAUGAAGGCCUU
Molecule: ribosomal RNA, 362 nt
Filed under: uncultured bacterium
Lineage: Bacteria
Description: bacterial SSU rRNA
Rfam family: Bacterial small subunit ribosomal RNA
Source: RNAcentral